This 209-nucleotide long non-coding RNA is filed under the name Elaeis guineensis (African oil palm). RNAcentral describes it as "long non-coding RNA (EGUI_LNC061521)". The record is from RNAcentral. Lineage: Eukaryota; Viridiplantae; Streptophyta; Magnoliopsida; Arecales; Arecaceae.
GGCCCCAUCAUAAUUAGUCAUCAAAGUUUUGUUGUUUUCAUCCCGAUCGCCAACUGCCACUAGGACUGUUUUUAUGUUUCAAGAGUUGAUGUAGGAUCUUUUAAAUGUUCACAAUGAAGAAAUCAUCCAUGAAAAAAAUUCUCUCAAGUUGCUAAGCCAAAGCACUUCAUAGAAUAGAUUUUCACAAAUCUAGCUAAGAGGAUUUGGGA